This is a long non-coding RNA of Pyrus x bretschneideri (Chinese white pear), 951 nucleotides long. RefSeq lists it as uncharacterized. The transcript is spliced from 5 exons. The record is from RefSeq and is a predicted model, not a curated record. Lineage: Eukaryota; Viridiplantae; Streptophyta; Magnoliopsida; Rosales; Rosaceae.
AUUCUUUAAAUCAUUUAAUUGACUGUACUAGAAUUUUAAAAUUUUUUAAAAUCCUCUCAAAUCCGGUUUAACUACAGCCCUAAAAUACAUCCUUGCAACUGCAAUCGGAAACAAAACAGAGAAAAUUUCAGAGUCCACAGAGCUACAUCCAUGGCGGCGACACCAACCGCCUGCGGUUUCUCCCCCGCCGUUCCAUCCCUCUCGCCUCCCAUAACUAACCCUAAUAAACCCAUUUGGUUUUUCAGACCUUUUUCUGCUUCCAAGAAAAUUCCUACGGUCGGCCUCUCCUGGUCCUCCACCCGCGGACGAAACCCUCUGUGAUCAAGAAUUUCCCAUACGGCAGGUGUAGCAUCAAAGCGUGGCCAUGUGGUGCUGGCUGUUUCUUGGUUGAUGAGUGGCAAUUCUGAGACGGACGCAGAAUUGGAACCGAAUAAUCUGAAUACGGAUGCCACGAUUGACAUACAACUCCCAAGAAGAAGCUUGCUUGUGAAAUUUACUUGUAACUUGUGUGGUGAAAGGACAAAUAAACUUGUCAAUCGAUUGGCUUAUGAGCGGGGGCUAAUCUACGUACAGUGUGCAGGGUGUCAAAAGCAUCACAAGUUAGCUGAUAAUCUUGGCCUUGUAGUUGAGUAUGACUUAAGGGAGGAUAUCGAUGUAGACACAAAUACGGAUGAAGUUUGAUCCGACAUUGAUUUCAUUAAGCUACUUUUUGAGUAGUAGUCUUUCGGAUAAAUUAAUUCUUGGCGGUUGUUGGAAUUCAUCUCCCUUGAUAUAUUGAACACGAAGUAAACAGAAAAGUGUGCAUAUCCUCCAUUCUGUGAGACAAACAAGCAUAAAGGUCAUCAGAAAAAUAUUAAAGCUGUCAACAUUAAUAAAAUUUGAGUUCAGUCACGCAUGUACGGUGUUCUAUGGUACUAAAUGUAAGAGCUGGUUAAAUUCUUUACCAAAUCC